Molecule: transfer RNA, 75 nt
Filed under: Oscillatoriales cyanobacterium USR001
Lineage: Bacteria; Bacillati; Cyanobacteriota; Cyanophyceae; Oscillatoriales
Rfam family: tRNA
About the family: Transfer RNA (tRNA) molecules are approximately 80 nucleotides in length. Their secondary structure includes four short double-helical elements and three loops (D, anti-codon, and T loops).
Source: Rfam by way of RNAcentral
GGUUAGGUGGCCGAGUGGAUGAAGGCGUUGGCCUGCAAAACCAAAUAUUCGUGGGUUCAAAUCCCACCCUAACCU